Molecule: non-coding RNA, 26 nt
Filed under: Mus musculus (house mouse)
Lineage: Eukaryota; Metazoa; Chordata; Mammalia; Rodentia; Muridae
Source: RNAcentral
UGCCACCAUAGCACCGUGACUGCUGC